This 443-nucleotide ribosomal RNA is filed under the name uncultured bacterium. RNAcentral's name for it is "partial 16S ribosomal RNA". It matches the Rfam family "Bacterial small subunit ribosomal RNA", at positions 338 to 795 of the family's 1533-position model. The record is from RNAcentral.
CCUACGGGUGGCAGCAGUAGGGAAUAUUGCUCAAUGGGGGAAACCCUGAAGCAGCAACGCCGCGUGGAGGAUGAAGGUUUUCGGAUUGUAAACUUCUUUUCUGAGGGACGAAGAUAAUGCCGGUAUCUAACGAAUAAGCACCGGCUAACUCCGUGCCAGCAGCCGCGGUAAUACGGAGGUUGCAAGCGUUACGCGGAGUCACUGGGCGUAAGGAGCGCGUAGGCGGGAUAGCACGUCGGAUGUGAAAUCCUAUGGCUUAACCAUAGAACUGCAUUUGAAACUGUUAUUCUAGAGUAUGGGAGAGGUAGGUGGAAUGCGUGGUGUAGGGGUAAAAUGCGUAGAGAUCAAGAGGAAUACUCAUUGCGAAGGCGUCCUGCGAGAACAUGACUGACGCUGAUGCGCGAAAGCGUGGGGAGCAAACAGGAUUAGAUACCCGAGUAGUC